RNAcentral lists this ribosomal RNA (498 nucleotides) under uncultured bacterium. RNAcentral describes it as "partial 16S ribosomal RNA". It matches the Rfam family "Bacterial small subunit ribosomal RNA", at positions 899 to 1397 of the family's 1533-position model. The record is from RNAcentral.
ACUCAAAUGAAUAGACGGGGGCCCGCACAAGCGGUGGAGCAUGUGGUUUAAUUCGACGCAACGCGAAGAACCUUACCCAGGUUUGACAUGUAUAGGACUGGUGUGGAAACACACCUUCCCUUCGGGGCCUAUACACAGGUGCUGCAUGGCUGUCGUCAGCUCGUGUCGUGAGAUGUUGGGUUAAGUCCCGCAACGAGCGCAACCCUUGUCCCUAGUUGCUAACGGAUAAUGCUGAGCACUCUAGGGAGACUGCCGGUGAUAAACCGGAGGAAGGUGGGGAUGACGUCAAGUCCUCAUGGCCCUUACAUCUGGGGCUACACACGUGCUACAAUGGCCGGUACAAAGGGUUCCGAAACCGCGAGGUAGAGGCAAUCCCAAAAAACCGGUCUCAGUUCGGAUUGCAGUCUGCAACUCGACUGCAUGAAGUCGGAAUCGCUAGUAAUCGCUGAUCAGCAGGCAGCGGUGAAUACGUUCCCGGGCCUUGUACACACCGCCCGU